AGUGAACGCUGGCGGUAGGCCUAACACAUGCAAGUCGAACGGCAGCACAGGAGAGCUUGCUCUCUGGGUGGCGAGUGGCGGACGGGUGAGGAAUACAUCGGAAUCUACUCUGUCGUGGGGGAUAACGUAGGGAAACUUACGCUAAUACCGCAUACGACCUACGGGUGAAAGCAGGGGAUCUUCGGACCUUGCGCGAUUGAAUGAGCCGAUGUCGGAUUAGCUAGUUGGCGGGGUAAAGGCCCACCAAGGCGACGAUCCGUAGCUGGUCUGAGAGGAUGAUCAGCCACACUGGAACUGAGACACGGUCCAGACUCCUACGGGAGGCAGCAGUGGGGAAUAUUGGACAAUGGGCGCAAGCCUGAUCCAGCCAUACCGCGUGGGUGAAGAAGGCCUUCGGGUUGUAAAGCCCUUUUGUUGGGAAAGAAGUCCAGCUGGCUAAUACCCGGUUGGGAUGACGGUACCCAAAGAAUAAGCACCGGCUAACUUCGUGCCAGCAGCCGCGAUAA
Molecule: ribosomal RNA, 506 nt
Filed under: uncultured bacterium
Lineage: Bacteria
Description: partial 16S ribosomal RNA
Rfam family: Bacterial small subunit ribosomal RNA
Source: RNAcentral